UGUUUCAUAGAAUUGGUGGUUAGUAUGACUGCCUGCCACGCAGAAGGUUCCGGGUUCAAUUCCCGGUGGGGUUA
Phthorimaea operculella (potato tuberworm) is the source of this 74-nucleotide non-coding RNA. Lineage: Eukaryota; Metazoa; Arthropoda; Insecta; Lepidoptera; Gelechiidae. The record is from the annotation of a GenBank genome assembly.